GUUUAUUUAGCCGGGAAUCAUGGUAAAAAUUAUGGUAGAGUGGAGGUAUAUACAAAUUAUACGAUAGGGACAAUCUGUGACGACAACUGGGACAAUACCGAUGCAAGAGUGGUUUGCGGGCAGCUCGGUCUUCCCACGUCGUAUGCUAGAGCUUUGAGUUCAGCCGCAUUGGGUUCAGGCUCAGGACUAAUUUUGAUGGAUGAAGUUUUUUGUCGUGGAACAGAGAGCAACAUAGCUUCAUGCAGGUUUCCAGGAUAUGGAGAAAACGACUGUAGUCAUAACGAAGAUGCAGCGGUUAUAUGCCAAGGAAGUUUCCUGUCCAUAUUCUUCGAUGGUAACCAUGGAACUAAUUUUGGAAGAGUUCAGGUAGUAACUGGACGAAAUAAGUCAAUCGGCACAGUGUGCGAUAAUGAAUGGGACGAAAAAGAUGCAACUGUUGUUUGUCGACAACUUGGACAUCCUACGUAAAGAAUCACGAUUUUUGAAAUAUUUUUACGUCUACAUUAGUUAUAGUAUAGAUCAAAUGGAGCAAAACAAGCUCCAUAUUAAACGUUAAACAUAAGGGUAAGAUGGUGUAUCGCGGGCAAGUGUCAAGCUUGUACCUUAAGAUCUCAUACACAUUCAUAUACAGUUUUGUAUGUCUAAGUCAUAAUCUAUGAGGCCGAUUGGAAUUCUAAUGAAACUUUAACCAAAUGCUAAAUACAUUGAGAAGUUGUGUCACAUAUGCGUACCUCAAGGGUCUAGGUUUCAAGCAAAACAUAUAAAGUUUGUAUGCACAUUUUGAAAUAUUCUGUACUCUUACUGAAUUGGUUGCAGUAGUCAAACCUAUUGUCCGAGGACAGAGGACCAAUGGUCAAUAGUUUUGACUCGGCAAGCUAGUAUAAUAAAACACUUAUUGAAUGGCUUGCCGGUCAAAAGUCAAAACUAUGGGUGUCUUAUCAUUGUGCAAAUCGCGUAUAGAUGGCAAACUGGUGAUAAAAAUGAUGACGCGCUUGAAAAAGCCUAUAGAUAUCGAACUUUUACCAUAACCUACAGACAAAUAGAUAUUUGUACCAGAACGUUUCCCUUAGCCAAUGACUUAAUUCACUAUUCUAUGAUUCUAUUUUUCACAUUUUAAAAGUGCGCUAUUGCGCCAGGAAAAGAAGUAAAUUUAGUAUUUCCCACUAUAUUAAUUUUCAGGUUUUCACUCGUAUUAUAAGCGAAAUUUAUAAUAUCUUUUUAUUAAGGUAUGAAUAUUGCUGAGCAAAAUGAAAAUUCAGCCAUAUUUAUAUAUGGUGGCAGUGUCUACUGUACCGAUGAGGAGACGCAACACUGUCGAAGGUUGCCCUGUCAGAAUUUUGGAAAUAUGUAUUUAAAUUUAAAGAAUCAUUUUACACCAGUAACCUUUCUUUUUAACACAAUAUCAGGACUAAUGCACGAGCAAUGACUGGUGCAUAUUUUGGCAGCGGAACAGGUAUAAUAUGGCUGGACAAUGUAUAUUGUAAAGGUACGGAAGCAAAUUUGUACUCCUGCUCCAGCAAUACUUUGGGCAUAAAUGACUGUAGCCAUACAAUGGAUGCUGGUGUGAUAUGCGGAUGUAAGUUACAAACUGAACAAUUAGAUGUUACUUAUCCAGAUUUUAAGUUCUUGGCGUUUUAUAAGAUUAUUAUGAUAUAAAGUAGCAAAGACAUAUUAAAAUUUCUUGAAUUAUUUUAUGACGAAUCAAUUCUUAGCUGACCAAGAAACAAAGUUAAUAACAUUUAAAACUGUAUUGACAGGGAGCAAAUUGAAAAUGGGAAUACUGCAUCACUAUUAAUGAAAUGGGGAGGCAUAUAAUCUGCUUUGACGAGUGUUUAAAUGACACCAAACAACACUGUGAUAAUACAAUAAAAAAUGCGUUAAUUUUGACUAUUUUUACCAAACAUGAAAUUAACUAACAUUAAUUUUGAAAUACUAUUAUAGUAAAAUAACAUAUAUAAGCUUCUCUUGUAUUAGUAUGCUUUCUUAAAUUUCCUUUAAAUGAUACAUGCCUAAAUUCAGACUUUUUUCUUCAUAAAAGUGUUUUAAAACUAUGAUAAAAUGUGUGUUAAAUUUUAUAUGCUGUUGUUUUCGUAAGUUCAACUUGUCUGUACCUUAAUUAUUGUUAGAUUUUCAUGUUGUGCGUCCUUUAGCCUUUUAUCAACAAUGAAAUGUCCUAAUGUUAUUCAUUUAGAAUUGUAAUAUCAUAAUGUAUAACAAUAAGUAAAUAAACAGGCUUAGGCAACAUAUUUCUCUAAGAACUUAGGCAAUUUCAGAUAGUCUCCAAGUUCGCCUGAAAAAUAUGGAGGUCAGUGGAAACCACAACAGAGAUGGGAUUAUUCAGGUUCAGUUCGAAGGCCACUGGAUUAACGUCAAAUAUGGGAACCUGUCCUUAAAUGUAUUGGAAGUCCUCUGCCAACAACUUGGGUUUAGAACUGCAAAUACAUCAAGGGAAUCAAAUUAUUGUUAUUAUACGUACAUAUCUCACUUUAUAUGCAACAGUUUCAGAUCAGAACACUUAAUUAUAUAGGAAACUUCUAAAUGCUUUCUUUCCUUUUAUUAUUUUUAUAAAGACAAACCAUACUUAAUGUUUUUCUACUAUUAUCAUUAUUAUUAUUACUUUUAUUAUUAUCAUUAUUAUUAUUAUUAUUUCUGAAUACUUUUUAUUACAGGAAAGUUUACAGGGUAAGAAAUGAAGACUCGCUUUUCAAGAACGCACAAAUGAUAACUUUUGUCAAAUGUGAUGGUACCGAAACCAAUAUUGGACACUGUCAAUUUACAGUGGCAGAAUCUGCUUUCAUAAACAAUCCAUCAAGCUUUGACGACGCCAAUACGACAGCGUACCUUGUAUGCGAACAGACCGGAUUAGGUACAUUAAAAUUACUUAACAAUUCCCACACUAGCCGUCAAAUUAUUGUUCGAAGCGGUAUUCCAACUGAUCUAGUUUGCGUUGCCGGGCCAUCCAUACCAAGACAGACCAUUACAUGGAACCUGACCACUGACUCUAAUAUCACAGAGACGUACCAGAUGAGUAACACAGGGAGAUAUACUACCUCAUCUAGAUUAACUUUUAUCCCUGACGUCGAAAAACAUAAUGGAUCGGCUAUAUUAUGCCGUCUUCAAUCUACAUAUGGCGACGUCAGAUCUGUGUCGGAAAGUGUUCAAAUUUUUUUUGGAGGUAGAGUUGUGUUUCAAAUAUUUUUUUUCACUAUUUUAGACACUUUUGUUUAAAUAGACCAAAUAGAAAACCAUGCCUCAGGUAUGCUAUCAUCUCGCUUGGUUAUGUUUUAUGCUUCCAAAUGAUCUUAUU
Long non-coding RNA from Mercenaria mercenaria, 3307 nucleotides. RefSeq lists it as uncharacterized. The transcript is spliced from 4 exons. The record is from RefSeq and is a predicted model, not a curated record. NCBI's taxonomy places the organism in Eukaryota, Metazoa, Mollusca, Bivalvia, Venerida, Veneridae.